This 429-nucleotide ribosomal RNA is filed under the name Bacteroidota bacterium. RNAcentral describes it as "Bacteroidetes bacterium partial 16S ribosomal RNA". It matches the Rfam family "Bacterial small subunit ribosomal RNA", at positions 355 to 776 of the family's 1533-position model. Lineage: Bacteria; Pseudomonadati; Bacteroidota. The record is from RNAcentral.
UAGGGAAUCUUCCGCAAUGGACGCAAGUCUGACGGAGCAACGCCGCGUGCGUGAAGAAGGAUUUCGGUUCGUAAAACUCUGUUGUUAGAGAAGAACAGCGCAUAGAGUAACUGUUAUGCGUGUGACGGUAUCUAACCAGAAAGCCACGGCUAACUACGUGCCAGCAGCCGCGGUAAUACGUAGGUGGCAAGCGUUGUCCGGAUUUAUUGGGCGUAAAGCGAGCGCAGGCGGUCAAUUAAGUCUGAUGUGAAAGCCCCCGGCUCAACCGGGGAGGGUCAUUGGAAACUGGUUGACUUGAGUGCAGAAGAGGAGAGUGGAAUUCCAUGUGUAGCGGUGAAAUGCGUAGAUAUAUGGAGGAACACCGGUGGCGAAAGCGGCUCUCUGGUCUGUAACUGACGCUGAGGCUCGAAAGCGUGGGUAGCAAGCAGG